AUUAAAUAUAAAAAGAAGGAAGUUGAAACAGGAAAGACCACAACAUGAAGGAAAAACGGGAAGGAAAACUCAUGUAUGCAGCAUUCGACAAAACAAUUCAAAUGAAACUGGACCACACCACACAAAUUUUAAACGUCGCUCCUUAGCCUUUUCACAGAUCCAUACUCUUCUUCAUUUUCUUGAGCUUGUCUUUUCAAUGUAUUUCGCUUCUUGUUCAGGAAAUUCAUCAACCAUAUAGCAGAAGCUUUUGGAAAUCUUGUCAAAUAGCCAUUCACGAAAUCCACGUAAAAAAGGCCAAAUCUAACACUAUAUCCCGCACCCCAUUCAAAAUUAUCAAACAUUGACCAUAUAUAGUAACCCUUCACAUCUACNGGAUACAUAAUU
Molecule: long non-coding RNA, 384 nt
Filed under: Olea europaea subsp. europaea
Lineage: Eukaryota; Viridiplantae; Streptophyta; Magnoliopsida; Lamiales; Oleaceae
Source: RNAcentral